Molecule: long non-coding RNA, 560 nt
Filed under: Pan troglodytes (chimpanzee)
Lineage: Eukaryota; Metazoa; Chordata; Mammalia; Primates; Hominidae
Description: long non-coding RNA NONPTRT013029
Source: RNAcentral
AAAUGACUUGGAAGAGCAGUUUCUCUGAGCCAGGAUACUAAAGUCCGUGUUUAGGAAAGAGCCACAUUGUAUGUUUACCCUACCACAAAGAUACAGAAUUCUGGAGGAAAGUGGCUCUGGGAAUUGAACAGUGGCUCAGUGAUGUUGGGGCCACCAAGUCUGCAAUUCUCCCGACCUGUUCUUCACGGUUGUAAGAUGACUGCUGCAAUUCUCGGCAUCAUGUGCAUGUUAAUGUCAGGAGGAAGAGAGGAAGAGGGAGCACUGGGAUGUUACACUCAUUUUGUCAGGAAAAGCAAAGCCUUUCCAGACAGCCCCGAAACUUGCUUACCUCUCAUUGGCCAGCACCAUCACUUGACCACUUGUCCACUCCUAGCUGCAAGGAAAGUGGCAAAGUAGAAGGUAUUUGAGAAUGUCUGCUGGGUUAGCCAAAACAAUAGUGACUUCUACACCCAAUUUUCUGGGCACUGCAUAAGUAUCCUUGAUUCCUAUGUGAUCAGAGGGAGAGCAAACCUCAAUAAUGAAACAGAUUCAAUUUCCAUCACCCAGUGAGAUACCAUGGG